UAGGGAAUCUUCGGCAAUGGGGGCAACCCUGACCGAGCAAUGCCGCGUGAGUGAAGAAGGUUUUCGGAUCGUAAAGCUCUGUUGUAAGAGAAGAACGUGUGUGAGAGUGGAAAGUUCACACAGUGACGGUAACUUACCAGAAAGGGACGGCUAACUACGUGCCAGCAGCCGCGGUAAUACGUAGGUCCCGAGCGUUGUCCGGAUUUAUUGGGCGUAAAGCGAGCGCAGGCGGUUUAAUAAGUCUGAAGUUAAAGGCAGUGGCUUAACCAUUGUUCGCUUUGGAAACUGUUAAACUUGAGUGCAGAAGGGGAGAGUGGAAUUCCAUGUGUAGCGGUGAAAUGCGUAGAUAUAUGGAGGAACACCGGUGGCGAAAGCGGCUCUCUGGUCUGUAACUGACGCUGAGGCUCGAAAGCGUGGGGAGCAAACAGG
This 429-nucleotide ribosomal RNA is filed under the name bacterium. RNAcentral's name for it is "partial 16S ribosomal RNA". It matches the Rfam family "Bacterial small subunit ribosomal RNA", at positions 355 to 776 of the family's 1533-position model. The record is from RNAcentral.